Molecule: ribosomal RNA, 208 nt
Filed under: uncultured bacterium
Lineage: Bacteria
Description: partial 16S ribosomal RNA
Rfam family: Bacterial small subunit ribosomal RNA
Source: RNAcentral
CGGAUCGGAGUCUGNAACCCGACUCCGUGAAGCUGGAUUCGCUAGUAAUCGCGCAUCAGCCAUGGCGCGGUGAAUACGUUCCCGGGCCUUGUACACACCGCCCGUCACACCAUGGGAGUUGGGAGUGCCCAAAGCCGGUGAGGCAACCUUCGGGAGCCAGCCGUCUAAGGUGGGACAGAUGAUUGGGGUGAAGUCGUAACAAGGUAUC